Molecule: transfer RNA, 73 nt
Filed under: Bacteroidales bacterium
Lineage: Bacteria; Pseudomonadati; Bacteroidota; Bacteroidia; Bacteroidales
Also listed under: 2 other names
Description: tRNA-Trp
Rfam family: tRNA
About the family: Transfer RNA (tRNA) molecules are approximately 80 nucleotides in length. Their secondary structure includes four short double-helical elements and three loops (D, anti-codon, and T loops).
Source: RNAcentral
ACGGAAUUAGCUCAGUUGGUAGAGCACUGGUCUCCAAAACCAGGUGUCGGGAGUUCGAGUCUCUCAUUCCGUG